GUUCGGGAACCACCUGAUCCCAUGCCGAACUCAGCAGUGAAACCGCUCAGCGCCGAUGGUAGUGUGGGGUCUCCCCAUGCGAGAGUAGGUCAUCGUCAGGC
This 101-nucleotide ribosomal RNA is filed under the name Billgrantia montanilacus. The record is from RNAcentral. Lineage: Bacteria; Pseudomonadati; Pseudomonadota; Gammaproteobacteria; Oceanospirillales; Halomonadaceae.